RNAcentral lists this ribosomal RNA (440 nucleotides) under uncultured bacterium. Its description in RNAcentral is "partial 16S ribosomal RNA". It matches the Rfam family "Bacterial small subunit ribosomal RNA", at positions 338 to 795 of the family's 1533-position model. The record is from RNAcentral.
CCUACGGGAGGCAGCAGUGGAGGAUCUUGCACAAUGGGGGGAACCCUGAUGCUGCGACGCCGCGUGGGUGAAGAAGCGCCUCGGCGCGUAAAGCCCUGUCAGCAGGGAAGAAAAUGACGGUAACUGAAGAAGAAGCCGCGGCUAACUACGUGCCAGCAGCCGCGGUAGUACGUAGGGGGCAAGCGUUAUCCGGAUUUACUGGGUGUAAGGGGGGCGCAGACGGCGAUGCAAGCCAGGAGUGAAAGCCCGGGGCCCAACCCCGGGACGGCUCUUGGAACUGCGUGGCUGGAGUGCAGGAGGGGCAGGCGGAAUUCCUGGUGUAGCGGUGAAAUGCGUAGAUAUCAGGAGGAACACCGGUGGCGAAGGCGGCCUGCUGGACUGCAACUGACGUUGAGGCCCGAAAGCGGGGGGAGCAAACAGGAUUAGAUACCCGAGUAGUC